UACGUAGGGUGCAAGCGUUAAUCGGAAUUACUGGGCGUAAAGAGCCCGUAGGCGGUCUGUUGCGUCGGCUGUGAAAACCCGGGGCUCAACCCCGGGCCUGCAGCCGAUACGGGCAGACUAGAGUUCGGCAGGGGAGACUGGAAUUCCUGGUGUAGCGGUGAAAUGCGCAGAUAUCAGGAGGAACACCGGUGGCGAAGGCGGGUCUCUGGGCCGAUACUGACGCUGAGGAGCGAAAGCGUGGGGAGCGAACAGG
This 253-nucleotide ribosomal RNA is filed under the name uncultured bacterium. Its description in RNAcentral is "partial 16S ribosomal RNA". It matches the Rfam family "Bacterial small subunit ribosomal RNA", at positions 524 to 776 of the family's 1533-position model. The record is from RNAcentral.